This 23-nucleotide non-coding RNA is filed under the name Cricetulus griseus (Chinese hamster). The record is from RNAcentral. Lineage: Eukaryota; Metazoa; Chordata; Mammalia; Rodentia; Cricetidae.
UGGCUGGAUAAGGAGUUUGUAAG